RNAcentral lists this ribosomal RNA (252 nucleotides) under uncultured bacterium. RNAcentral's name for it is "partial 16S ribosomal RNA". It matches the Rfam family "Bacterial small subunit ribosomal RNA", at positions 524 to 776 of the family's 1533-position model. The record is from RNAcentral.
UACGGAGGAUGCGAGCGUUAUCCGGAUUUAUUGGGUUUAAAGGGUGCGCAGGCGGCCUGUUAAGUCAGCGGUAAAAGCCCGGGGCUCAACCCCGGCGAGCCGUUGAAACUGGCUGUCUUGAGAUGUCGAGAGGUAUGCGGAAUGCGCAGUGUAGCGGUGAAAUGCGUAGAUAUUAGGAGGAACACCAGUGGCGAAGGCGGGUUCCUGGACAUUAACUGACGCUGAGGCACGAAGGCCAGGGGAGCGAAAGGG